This 409-nucleotide ribosomal RNA is filed under the name uncultured bacterium. RNAcentral describes it as "bacterial SSU rRNA". It matches the Rfam family "Bacterial small subunit ribosomal RNA", at positions 350 to 751 of the family's 1533-position model. The record is from RNAcentral.
AGCAGUGGGGAAUUUUGGACAAUGGGCGAAAGCCUGAUCCAGCAAUGCCGCGUGAGUGAAGAAGGCCUUCGGGUUGUAAAGCUCUUUUGUCAGGGAAGAAACGGUGAGGGCUAAUAUCCUUUGCUAAUGACGGUACCUGAAGAAUAAGCACCGGCUAACUACGUGCCAGCAGCCGCGGUAAUACGUAGGGUGCAAGCGUUAAUCGGAAUUACUGGGCGUAAAGCGUGCGCAGGCGGUUUUGUAAGUCUGAUGUGAAAUCCCCGGGCUCAACCUGGGAAUUGCAUUGGAGACUGCAAGGCUAGAAUCUGGCAGAGGGGGGUAGAAUUCCACGUGUAGCAGUGAAAUGCGUAGAUAUGUGGAGGAACACCGAUGGCGAAGGCAGCCCCCUGGGUCAAGAUUGACGCUCAUG